GUACGCAGCUGUUCUGUUGUCAGCUGGGCCUGCAGACAGCGACCGUCAGGUGAUCAAAUCACCAGCUGUGUUGUUGUUGAGAGUGCGUCAAACAAGAGCAAUGACGCAGAGACUGGGCCGGUCGUUGUGAAAGUUCAGGCGGUGGUACCAUAAACGAGAUGCAGAUUUUUGUUUGUCUAUUAUCGAAAUAAUGUUAUAAAAAAUUCAACUCAUCUAAAAAUUUCGGACAGAAAUAAACUACCAGUAAAAUAUACAGCAUCAAUGCACUUUAAGACAAGAGCCAAGUGAAGUGUUAAAGCAAGGACAAGUGGUCGGCUGCUAUCUGGAACACGUCUCUGCCAUUACCACUACAAACAGAGAUAAGCCCGGGUCUUGCUGGCCAGAAGACAACGCUAUUGUUCGAUAGUGACCCUACACUGGACUUUGUCCCCACGAUAUCUCCUAAACACACCAUCACGGACCUUCCAGGAGCCUACUUUCUAGCCGUUCUUCACGGAGGUCAACAAAGAUGUUUGAACACUUUGUCUCCAAAUAAGCUAUAAGGAAAACUGACGACAGAUAAGAUAACUUAUUUCUUUAAAUUCUACAAAGCGCGAUAGCAGCUCUUUAAACAAUAUGUUAUUUAUGGAAUAACUGUAAAUCUUAUCCCAUGAUGUAGAUUGGUUCAAAUAAAUAACUUGAUGAUCCUGAUUUAAAA
Molecule: long non-coding RNA, 697 nt
Filed under: Homalodisca vitripennis (glassy-winged sharpshooter)
Lineage: Eukaryota; Metazoa; Arthropoda; Insecta; Hemiptera; Cicadellidae
Description: uncharacterized LOC124354966, transcript variant X2
Source: RNAcentral